RNAcentral lists this ribosomal RNA (207 nucleotides) under uncultured bacterium. Its description in RNAcentral is "partial 16S ribosomal RNA". It matches the Rfam family "Bacterial small subunit ribosomal RNA", at positions 568 to 774 of the family's 1533-position model. The record is from RNAcentral.
CGCGUAGGCGGUUCGCUAAGUUGAAUGUGAAAACUCUGGGCUUAACCCAGAGCCUGCAUCCAAAACUGGCGAACUGGAGUACUGGAGGGGAAAGCGGAAUUCCUGGCGUAGCGGUGAAAUGCGUAGAUAUCAGGAGGAACACCGGUGGCGAAGGCGGCUUUCUGGACAGUAACUGACGCUGAGGCGCGAAAGCCGGGGGAGCAAACA